Molecule: long non-coding RNA, 2575 nt
Filed under: Vitis vinifera (wine grape)
Lineage: Eukaryota; Viridiplantae; Streptophyta; Magnoliopsida; Vitales; Vitaceae
Description: long non-coding RNA (VVIN_LNC004641)
Source: RNAcentral
GUCACGGACUUAGUCGUUCACUAAGGUCGUGCGGCACUUAGACAAGCCAAGACGCUUGAUCUUGCUAAGUCAGCCUUGCUCCCAAUACUUAGCUUGCUCGGCUAAGACACUCGCGACUCAAAAGCUUAAGAAGCUUGGUAGGCAACUCCUUAAAGAAUGGAAGCUCUUAUUAACUCAAGAAGCUUUUACAAGUGCUUGGAUGCUCACUUGCUUGGUGCCUUGGCCAAAUGAGGCCCUCACCUAUUUAUAGGCACCAAUGGAACUCUCUAGAACCUUGGAGGGUUCCUUACAAUUCAUGAAUAUUCUAGAAUGUCCUACACUAUUCUAGAAUAUUCAAGAGACUUCUAGAAUGUCCUACACUAUUCUAGAAUAUUCAAGAGACUUCUAGAAUGUCCUACACUAUUCUAGAAUAUUCAAGAGACUUCUAGAUUUCUCUAGAAAGCUUUGGACCCUUCUCAUGCCUUCUACCAUAGUGUAGAGUUGUGUGGACUUCUCUAGGCAUUUCUAGAACCUUCCACACUCUUCCCACUAGUGGCUAAGUGUGGAUGUCUCCAAGGGUCUCUAGAAGCUUCUCACCUCCUAUAUAAGCCAUGGGGAGGGUCAUUUGAAGCAUCUUGUGACACUCUCCCCCACCUAAGCCGUCGACGUCCUCGUCGUUGCCUCAUUCUGAAACCUCUCGAUGUGUUUCCAAAAUUUUCUCAAGGCAUCCGCAUGUUCCCAGCUUACCUGUCUCUUAGGUAGUCCUUUCCAUCGGACUAGAUACUCUAUCACAGGAGGGAUCCCUUGUCUCCUGGUGACCCGUUCAGCCAGGAUAUUCUUCACCUCCUUCUCCCGUGAGGCUUCAAAUGGAUGCAGACCCGUGCGCUUUCGAUGCUUAGAGUGCUGCUUCCUCUUACCCAUUGAGUUCACCUUUCCCUUGGUGACCUCUUCCAUGUGUGUGCGGGCUACCUCAGCUCGCUCCCCUUUUUCCUCCUUUACUUGCACCCCUGCUAGUAAAGAGGUCUUAGGCGUACUAGGCUUCGGGUUGAAUUGGAGGGCACCUAGUAGCUGCAUUGAGCCCAUAUGUGCUUCGUCCUCCUGCUCCCUCUCCUCGAUCAUGGCACUAAGCGCCUUCCUCUUUGGACAAUCCCGUGCCCAAUGUGGUCCGUCACAUAGGAAGCAUUUGAUUUUAGGCGUGAACUCCUUCCUUUCCGCCUUACCCCUUCCUUCUUGGACGUUAGGCGUCUUGCUUGAUCCCUUUUUAGGAGCAUUGUGGUCCCUUGGAACCUCGUCUCCCCCACCCAUGGCGUGGCUAUCCUCCAAAGACUCAAUCUUGGAGGAGUCUCCCUUCCUAUAAUCCGUUAAAGACUCUGCUACUGCCAUAGCGGUGGCUAAGUCUUGAACGCCUCGGCGCCUUAAUUCCUGCUCGGCCCACCCUUGUAGGUUAUCCAUGAAGUUGAAUAGCAACUCCUCCUCAGUCAUGUUAGGAAUCUCAAGCAUGAGUGAAGAGAAUUCCUUGACAUAGUCACGUAUUGAGCCUGUGUGCUUAAGACGCCUCAUGUUUUUCCUAGCCAGGUAAGCCACGUCCUCGGGGUAGAACUGCCUCUUAAUCUCCCUCUUAAAGUCUUCCCAUGUCUCUAUGGUGAAAAUGCCUUUCUCCAUAUCGGCAAACCUCCGAUGCCACCAUAGAGUAGCUGUGUCAGUAAGGUAGAGGGUUGCAGUUCUUACCUUAGCCGCCUCAUCAGUCAAUGCGAUAGCCUCGAAGUAUCGCUCCAUAUGCCAUAAGAAGUUAUCUAACUCCUUGGCAUCCCUCUUGCCACUAAACCCAUGUGGCUUCGGCACCUCCACCCUAGAUGCCUCUUGUGUGGCCAUGACCCGUGCCAACACAGCAGCCUUGUAGAUGGCCAACUCCUCCCUAACUUCCUGGUCUCGGGACUCCAUUCGAGUGGCCAAGGCCUCUAUCCUUGACUCCAUGCUAGCAAGCAUGCUCAAGACCUUUCCUUGGAAAGACAUGAACUCCUCGUGUGACAUCGGCUGAACUUGCGAGACCAGCACCCCCUCGCGAAGGUCUUGGAUCUGCUCCCUUAGAUCCUCUAAGCCCUUCUCCAUGCCUUGCUCGAUCAAGUCCACCCCUUCCCGGGUGUCUGCCAUGGCUAGCUCCACCUUGGCUAACCUUGCCUCCAUGUUGGCAACAACAUCACAAGAUGUAUCCUUCUUACCUCUGCCCCUGCCCCGUGCAGUAGGCUCGGCCUCCCUCCCACGGGUUUGUUCGCUAGUCUCCUCCACGUUAGAGCCCGACAUGCUUCCCUUAUACCCGCUUCGUAGCCACGCUCUGAUACCACUUGUCACGGACUUAGUCGUUCACUAAGCUCGUGCGGCACUUAGACAAGCCAAGACGCUUGAUCUUGCUAAGUCAGCCUUGCUCCCAAUACUUAGCUCGCUCGGCUAAGACACUCGCGACUCAAAAGCUUAAGAAGCUUGGUAGGCAACUCCUUAAAGAAUGGAAGCUCUUAUUAACUCAAGAAGCUUUUACAAGUGCUUGGAUGCUCACUUGCUUGGUGCCUUGGCCAAAUGAGGCCCUCACCUAUUUAUAGGC